Molecule: ribosomal RNA, 896 nt
Filed under: Neopestalotiopsis clavispora
Lineage: Eukaryota; Fungi; Ascomycota; Sordariomycetes; Amphisphaeriales; Sporocadaceae
Description: LSU rRNA
Rfam family: Eukaryotic large subunit ribosomal RNA
Source: RNAcentral
GACUUAAGCAUAUCAAUAAGCGGAGGAAAAGAAACCAACAGGGAUUGCCUUAGUAACGGCGAGUGAAGCGGCAACAGCUCAAAUUUGAAAUCUGGCCCUUGGGUCCGAAUUGUAAUUUGUAGAGGAUGAUUUUGGUGCGGUAUCUUCCGAGUUCCUUGGAACAGGACGCCUUAGAGGGUGAGAGCCCCGUACGGUUGAAUGCCUAGCCUCUGUAAAUCUCCUUCGACGAGUCGAGUAGUUUGGGAAUGCUGCUCUAAAUGGGAGGUAAAUUUCUUCUAAAGCUAAAUAUUGGCCAGAGACCGAUAGCGCACAAGUAGAGUGAUCGAAAGAUGAAAAGCACUUUGAAAAGAGGGUUAAAUAGCACGUGAAAUUGUUGAAAGGGAAGGAUUUGUGACCAGACUUUUUCUGGGCGGAUCAUCCGGGGUUCUCUCCGGUGCACUUCGCCCAGUAAAGGCCAGCAUCGGUUUUCGGCGUGGGAUAAAAGCAGUAGGAAUGUGGCUCUCUACGGGGAGUGUUAUAGCCUAUUGUAUAAUACCGCGCUGGGGACCGAGGUUCGCGCUUCUGCAAGGAUGCUGGCGUAAUGGUUAUCAAUCACCCGUCUUGAAACACGGACCAAGGAGUCGAACAUUUGUGCGAGUGUUUGGGUGUUAAACCCUCACGCGUAAUGAAAGUGAACGGAGGUGAGAGCCCUUACGGGUGCAUCAUCGACCGAUCCUGAAGUUUUCGGAUGGAUUUGAGUAAGAGCAUAACUGUUCGGACCCGAAAGAUGGUGAACUAUGCGUGGAUAGGGUGAAGCCAGAGGAAACUCUGGUGGAGGCUCGCAGCGGUUCUGACGUGCAAAUCGAUCGUCAAAUCUGCGCAUGGGGGCGAAAGACUAAUCGAACCAUCUUUUUGUG